GGUUUUAAGAACUAAUUUUAUGAUUGAUAGGGGCAGUUGGGGGCAUUUGUAUUUAACUGUCAGAGGUGAAAUUCUUAGAUUUGUUAAAGACACACUACUGCGAAAGCAUUUGCCAAAGAUGUUUUCAUUAAUCAAGAACGAAAGUUAGGGGAUCGAAGACGAUCAGAUACCGUCGUAGUCUUAACUAUAAACUAUGCCGACUAGAGAUUGGAGGUCGUCUUUAUGCACGACUCCUUCAGCACCUUACAAGAAAUC
Molecule: ribosomal RNA, 255 nt
Filed under: Hepatozoon sp.
Lineage: Eukaryota; Apicomplexa; Hepatozoidae
Description: partial small subunit ribosomal RNA
Rfam family: Eukaryotic small subunit ribosomal RNA
Source: RNAcentral